GACGAACGCUGGCGGCGUGCCUAAUACAUGCAAGUAGAACGCUGAAGAGAGGAGCUUGCUCUUCUUGGAUGAGUUGCGAACGGGUGAGUAACGCGUAGGUAACCUGCCUUGUAGCGGGGGAUAACUAUUGGAAACGAUAGCUAAUACCGCAUAACAAUGGAUGACACAUGUCAUUUAUUUGAAAGGGGCAAUUGUUCCACUACAAGAUGGACCUGCGUUGUAUUAGCUAGUAGGUGAGGUAAUGGCUCACCUAGGCGACGAUACAUAGCCGACCUGAGAGGGUGAUCGGCCACACUGGGACUGGGACACGGCCCAGACUCCUACGGGAGGCAGCAGGAGGGAAUCUUCGGCAAUGGGGGCAACCCUGACCGAGCAACGCCGCGUGAGGGAAGAAGGUUGUCGGAUCGUAAAGCUCUGUUGUAAGUCAAGAACGGGUGUGAGAGUGGAAAGUUCACACUGUGACGGUAGCUGACCAGAAAGGGACGGCUAACUACGUG
Molecule: ribosomal RNA, 497 nt
Filed under: uncultured bacterium
Lineage: Bacteria
Description: partial 16S ribosomal RNA
Rfam family: Bacterial small subunit ribosomal RNA
Source: RNAcentral